GGAACAACACACUGCAAAAGGAUAAAGGCUGAUCCAGUAUAGCAACCUUUCUGAGACCUGCCUUAAGGCUAAGAUGAACAUUCAGGAGAUGGAGAAACCUGAACGUGGAGGCUUCAGAACUUCCCCCCAGAGGACAAGGAAUUAAAGGAACUUCGUCUUGUGAACCAAAGUCACGUGUCGGCUGUUAUCAGCUACUUCUUGCCUUCUUGCACAGCCAUAUCUGUCAAUACCACAUGGAAGCACACAGCCCGUAGUGUUGAGGAGCUUUGCCUGCAAAAUUCCUGCUUUUGUUUUGAGACUGCUCCUAUGAGAUACUCCCUUCAAUGGCACCUUAAUGGUUACACAGGGCACUGAGGAAGGCUCAAACCUUCAUAACUACAGUACAGCUCCCUCCAUCCAGGUA
Molecule: long non-coding RNA, 403 nt
Filed under: Gallus gallus (chicken)
Lineage: Eukaryota; Metazoa; Chordata; Aves; Galliformes; Phasianidae
Source: RNAcentral